Molecule: long non-coding RNA, 1040 nt
Organism: Cyprinus carpio carpio
Lineage: Eukaryota; Metazoa; Chordata; Actinopteri; Cypriniformes; Cyprinidae
Source: Ensembl
GAGAAAUUAAUAUUGCAGUAAUUAAAUAUCCACUUAGUUAUCACCAAAGCUCUCUAUAUUUAGCUGUAGAUCAUUUAACCGUUACACUGCCUCAGAAGCCUGUCCAAAAUCAGUUUCGUGAGGUGCCUUCGUGCAAAAACGCUGCCUGCAAAGUCAUUGCCUGAUACGGCAGCGAGGCAGCAAGUCACCUGCCUAAGUUUUCGGAUGCAGCCAUAAUCUGUGUCCCAAACUUAAGUGCAUGGACUCCGAAGUGCGCAUUUGAAGUGCGAAUGCGUCACAGUGGCGCGACGAAGGGUGUCCCAAACUGAAGUGCGUGGACUCAGAAGUGCGGAUGUGAAAUGCGAUUGCGUCACACCGUCACGACGUAAGCUGUCCCAAAGUCAGAAUGCGCACUUCGAAGACCGCAUUUGAAGUGCGAAUGCGUCACCGCGGCGCGACGAAGGCUGACGAGUUUCGAAAGCGACUUCAAAUGCGCCCUUCAUUUCCCAUGAAAAUGAAGUGUACAUCUUAAGGACACUUCGCACCCUUCCAUAUCCCAGAAUCACUUGCGUGCAUAUGAUGAAGGUGUUUAUAUUCAGAGGCAGGUGAGAGUUCUGUGGAGGACUUCACAUUGAAAUGCAUGGUUUAUUUGUGAAGUGUCCUGAGACAGGUGAGGGAGCGAGUGGACAGGGAGGACAUCAAACUCAAACAAAUACAUUCUUCAUUAGCCAAGAGUAAACUGUGGGAAAAAUAUGAGUACAUUACAGUUUUUCCAAUAUUUUUAAAAUGUCAUAUUGUCAAUGAAACAACCUAAUUUCUGUAGUUUAUUUUUGUGACGCAAGUUAAAAAUGAAAUGCAUAAAUUGUAUACAUUAUUUAUUUUUUGUGUGUAAUUUAUUCCUAAAUAACCCUGAGUACUUUCUGUACAUUUUGUAUUUUUGUUUUGCAUAUUCACGUGUAAAUAAAAGAAAAGUGCUUAUGUACAUUGUUAAUUUUUUUUAAUGUAGCUUAAAAUUUUUUUUUUCACAAAACAUUCUUUUAUAUGUUUAUUUGUUUGUCCUG